AUUGAACGCUGGCGGUAUGCUUAACACAUGCAAGUCGAACGGUAACAGGCCUUCGGGCGCUGACGAGUGGCGGACGGGUGAGUAACGCGUAGGAAUCUACCUGAUAGUGGGGGACAACUUAGGGAAACUUAAGCUAAUACCGCAUAAUCCCUAAGGGGGAAAGCGGGGGAUCUUCGGACCUCGCGCUAACAGAUGAGCCUGCGUUGGAUUAGCUAGUUGGUAGGGUAAAGGCCUACCAAGGCGACGAUCCAUAGCUGGUCUGAGAGGACGAUCAGCCACACUGGGACUGAGACACGGCCCAGACUCCUACGGGUGGCAG
This 319-nucleotide ribosomal RNA is filed under the name uncultured Pseudomonadota bacterium. RNAcentral describes it as "bacterial SSU rRNA". It matches the Rfam family "Bacterial small subunit ribosomal RNA", at positions 30 to 351 of the family's 1533-position model. Lineage: Bacteria; Pseudomonadati; Pseudomonadota. The record is from RNAcentral.